This 241-nucleotide unclassified non-coding RNA is filed under the name fungal sp. RNAcentral's name for it is "partial internal transcribed spacer region". The stretch from base 1 to 46 matches the Rfam family "Eukaryotic small subunit ribosomal RNA", at positions 1786 to 1831 of the family's 1831-position model. Lineage: Eukaryota; Fungi. The record is from RNAcentral.
AAGUCGUAACAAGGUUUCCGUAGGUGAACCUGCGGAAGGAUCAUUAACAAAUCAAAACACGUCAUCCUCAUGAGAGAUGCGGAACAGCUGUAACAAGCUGGGAUGCUCUUCCAUGUAGGGAUCUUGACAACACAUACACGAUCAUUAACUGACACACUUAACACAAGAGACAUGUCCCUCAAAAGACAUGCCCAACAACGUUAAUCGUCAACAACUUUUAACAAUGGAUCUCUUGGCUCUU